Molecule: ribosomal RNA, 622 nt
Filed under: uncultured fungus
Lineage: Eukaryota; Fungi
Description: eukaryotic LSU rRNA
Rfam family: 5.8S ribosomal RNA (bases 240-393)
Source: RNAcentral
AAGUCGUAACAAGGUUUCCGUAGGUGAACCUGCGGAAGGAUCAUUAUCGAGUUUUGAACGGGUUGUCUGCUGGCUCGCGAGAGCAUGUGCACGCCUGUCUCAUCCACUCUCAACUUCUGUGCACUUUUCAUAGGCCGGCUUGUGGGUGCGUUCGCGCACUUGUAGGUGUCGGGCUUAUGCUUUAUUACAAACGAUUCAGUUUUAGAAUGUCAUACUUUGCUAUAACGCAAUUUAUAUACAACUUUCAGCAACGGAUCUCUUGGCUCUCGCAUCGAUGAAGAACGCAGCGAAAUGCGAUAAGUAAUGUGAAUUGCAGAAUUCAGUGAAUCAUCGAAUCUUUGAACGCACCUUGCGCUCCUUGGUAUUCCGAGGAGCAUGCCUGUUUGAGUCUCAUGGAAUUCUCAACCUUCAGCUUUAUUGAUGAAGGCUUGGACUUGGAGGUCGUGCCGGCUCUCGUAGUCGGCUCCUCUGAAAUGCAUUAGUGCGAACGUUACCAGCCGCUUCAGCGUGAUAAUUAUCUGCGUUGCUGCGGAGGGUAUUCUAGUGUUCACGCUUCCAACCGUCUUCGGACAAAUUUCUGAACUCUGAGCUCAAAUCAGGUAGGACUACCCGCUGAACUUAA